AAAGAUGAUCAGGUUGAUAGGUCCGAGGUGGAAGUGCGGCGACGUAUGGAGCUGACGGAUACUAAUCGAUCGAGGACUUAACCAA
RNAcentral lists this ribosomal RNA (85 nucleotides) under Bacillus sp. 165. Its description in RNAcentral is "Bacterial large subunit ribosomal RNA". It matches the Rfam family "Bacterial large subunit ribosomal RNA", at positions 2840 to 2925 of the family's 2925-position model. Lineage: Bacteria; Bacillati; Bacillota; Bacilli; Caryophanales; Bacillaceae. The record is from Rfam by way of RNAcentral.